Molecule: ribosomal RNA, 507 nt
Filed under: bacterium RA6-4
Lineage: Bacteria
Description: bacterial SSU rRNA
Rfam family: Bacterial small subunit ribosomal RNA
Source: RNAcentral
ANUGAACGCUGGCGGCAGGCUUAACNCAUGCAAGUCGNGCGGUAACAGGGGAGCUUGCUCCUGCUGACGAGCGGCGGACGGGUGAGUAACGCGUAGGAAUCUACCUAGUAGAGGGGGACAACAUGUGGAAACGCAUGCUAAUACCGCAUACACCCUAAGGGGGAAAGGAGGGGACUCUUCGGAGCCUUCCGCUAUUAGAUGAGCCUGCGUGAGAUUAGCUAGUUGGUAGGGUAAAGGCCUACCAAGGCGACGAUCUCUAACUGGUCUGAGAGGAUGACCAGUCACACUGGGACUGAGACACGGCCCAGACUCCUACGGGAGGCAGCAGUGGGGAAUAUUGGACAAUGGGCGGAAGCCUGAUCCAGCCAUGCCGCGUGUGUGAAGAAGGCCUUAGGGUUGUAAAGCACUUUCAGGGGUGAGGAAGGGUAACUGGCUAAUAUCCAGUUAUCUUGACGUUAGCCCCAGAAGAAGCACCGGCUAACUCUGUGCCAGCAGCCNCGGGUAAUA